UACGGAGGAUGCAAGCGUUAUCCGGAAUGAUUGGGCGUAAAGCGUCCGCAGGUGGUACAACAAGUCUAGUGUCAAAGACCGGGGCUCAACCCCGGGAAGGCGGUGGAAACUGUUGAACUAGAGGGUCGUAGGGGUAGAGGGAAUUCCCAGUGUAGCGGUGAAAUGCGUAGAUAUGUGGAGGAACACCGAUGGCGAAGGCAAUCCCCUGGGCCUGUACUGACGCUCAUGCACGAAAGCGUGGGGAGCAAACAGG
This 253-nucleotide ribosomal RNA is filed under the name uncultured bacterium. RNAcentral describes it as "partial 16S ribosomal RNA". It matches the Rfam family "Bacterial small subunit ribosomal RNA", at positions 524 to 776 of the family's 1533-position model. The record is from RNAcentral.